This 231-nucleotide unclassified non-coding RNA is filed under the name plant metagenome. RNAcentral's name for it is "partial contains small subunit ribosomal RNA, internal transcribed spacer 1, and 5.8S ribosomal RNA". The record is from RNAcentral.
UCUCCGUUGGUGAACCAGCGGAGGGAUCAUUACAGAGUUGCAAAACUCCCAAACCAUUGUGAACGUUACCUAUCCCGUUGCUUCGGCGGGCGGCCCGGGCCCCGCGCCCGGCGCCCCCCGGCCCCCCGUGGGCGCCCGCCGGAGGUAAACCAAACCCUUAAAUUGCAUGGCCUCUCUGAGUCUUCUGUACUGAAUAAGUCAAAACUUUCAACAACGGAUCUCUUGGUUCUG